UAUCCGGAUUCACUGGGUUUAAAGGGUGCGUAGGCGGGCAGGUAAGUCAGUGGUGAAAUCCUAGAGCUUAACUCUAGAACUGCCAUUGAUACUAUCUGUCUUGAAUAUUGUGGAGGUNAGCGGAAUAUGUCAUGUAGCGGUGAAAUGCUUAGAUAUGACAUAGAACACCNAUUGCGAAGGCAGCUUACUACCAUGGGAUUGACGCUGAGGCACGAAAGCGUGGGGAUCAAACAGGAUUAGAUACCCUGGUAGUCCACGCCCUAAACGAUGA
RNAcentral lists this ribosomal RNA (271 nucleotides) under uncultured Sphingobacteriales bacterium. RNAcentral's name for it is "partial 16S ribosomal RNA". It matches the Rfam family "Bacterial small subunit ribosomal RNA", at positions 542 to 812 of the family's 1533-position model. Lineage: Bacteria; Pseudomonadati; Bacteroidota; Sphingobacteriia; Sphingobacteriales. The record is from RNAcentral.